This 2533-nucleotide long non-coding RNA is filed under the name Triticum aestivum (bread wheat). RNAcentral describes it as "long non-coding RNA (TAES_LNC010463)". Lineage: Eukaryota; Viridiplantae; Streptophyta; Magnoliopsida; Poales; Poaceae. The record is from RNAcentral.
GUUUUUUUUGUUAAGUUACAACUCUCGCUCUUCUAAAGUGUUUGUUGAUCGAGUUGUAAACUUAAGUCCUAUGGUGCUCUGAUACUUUUGAACUGCUUUCUGCAUGCUUAUUUCCUCAAGUACCUUAAUGCACGCAUGCUAAAUUUCGUCAGACACCAUAUCUCAUCAUGCAUUUCAAAUUCUUCAUACUAUAUGUCAAAUGUGUGUAUGAAUUACAAGAUAUAGGGGGAGAUCUCCAUGAUAUUACUCUACAAUGUGCAUUUGCAAUCCAAAGCAAAUUCCUCAAAUAUGCACAUCUUCGGGGGAAGUUCUUCUAUAUAUUGAAAUCAAAUUCCUCAAUAUUAGUAUUUACACUUCAUAUGAUUAUCCCCGUUGAAAACUUAACCUAUUUGUUAUCAAUCACCAAAAAGAGGGAGAUUGUAAGUGCAUCUAGUGCCCCUUAGUGAUUUUGGUGUAUUGAAGACUUAUAGGUUAAGGGACUAAUGUGUUUGUGAGUGGAGACAGGUUCUAUAAGUCUAUGAGGAGUUUGAUAUUUACGAUGAAGGUCGACCCCUAAAAAUGAAUGUCUUCAGUUGAUGACCUUGGUUUUCUUGAAGACUUUGAAAAUGAGAAAAUUGGUGUGACCUUGAAGACUUUGAUAUUGAUGCGAGGAUUAUGAAGCGUGAAGACUUUUGUUUUCGUACUUUCAUUUUCUCUUUCUUAAGUCAUAGGAAACACCAUACUGUUAAAGGGGGUCGAGGUAAAACUAAGGAAAAGUUUCAAAGUGAUCCUCAUCUCAAAUCCUACACCUACCCAAUCCUUUCAAGUGAAGCCAUUGGAAAUCUCAUACAGUUCAGUCAAUUUCUUCAGUGACAGAGACGAAGUUCUUCUGUUCUCUGAGGAAUUUGUUCUGACUGAGGAGUUAGGAAUUCGCCAGUGCGGAUUGCCUACAAGUGAGGAACAUGAUAGCCUUUAGGAAUUUGAGAGCUCAAAUUUUCGACCGUUGCUUUGCUAUGCACCAGCUGUCCCAAAAUAUCUUAUCCACCUAACGGUCAUAUCAUUGAAGGGCAUUUAUGUCUUAUCAUGUCGGGAUGCUCCCCGGCUAUAAAUAGCCGCCCCCUACAACCACUAGUUGGUUGGCUGCUCUGAGAGAAACUGACACUUGUCAUUGAGAGCAUCCCAUCCUCCGAGGACUUUGAGUGAAAAUCAUCAAGUGAGAAAAAAAACCCAGACCCAAACACCUACAACACAAAGUGACUGAGUAUUACUGAAGAGAUUGUUCCUGUGUGGAACCAACGCUUGUUACCUUUGAGGAUUGUGCAUCCUCCAGACGGUUAGGCGUCAUGGUCUAGAGCAUCCAAGAGGAAUUGUGGAUCGCCGAGUGACCGAAUCUGUGAAGGUUUGGAAGACUUACCACGAGUGAUUGGGCAAGGUCUGUGUGACCUUAGCUCAAGGAGAAUAUGGUGAGGAAUGUGUGUCCUCAGGUUUAAAUAUCUAACCUCCCCAACCAGACGUGCAACUGUCACAACAGUUGGAACUGGUCCAAAUCGUUGUCUUCACCGAGCUACUGGUUCUAUUUCCUCAACCCUUUCAUUUCUUCAUUCAUAUGUUGAUGAAAUUGACCGUUACUGUUUGAAGACUUUGGCUAAAGACUUUCUCAAUUUCCUCAAUCCUAUUUCUUCAGUCAUCUUAUCUUCAACCUGCUUAUCCUAUUUACACGCUACCUGUACCCCGUGCUUAUUUCAUAUCAUCAUGAUGAUUGUGUUACUGCCAUGUUAUACUUGCACCUGAGUACUUAUUCCGCUGCUUGUAGUUCAUCACUUAGGAAAUUCCUCACUUAGAAUUAGGAAUUUCCUCAGUGUCGAAUUCAUAAAAAUUGCCUAUUCACCCUCCUUCUAGUCGAUAUAACGCACUUUCGGGGAGGUGCUCCAAACUUAUUAACAUGACAUCUAGUUUAAAAUAUUUUGAGGCGAGAAACACAACAGUGAAAAUGGUUCGUGAUUUGGACGCAUGGUUCAAAAGAUAAAACGUUUUGGAAAAUGAAUCUAGGAAAAGAGCACAAAAAUCUCUUGUUGUGACAAGUGUCGCACAUACAAUGCGUCAUUUGUCACCACAAUAAGCACAAGUUGUCCUGCUGCAAAUGAUGCAGAAACAAGGUUUUUUCUUCCAAAAUCUGAAGAAAGAAUACCUAAACUUUUGCAACAUUUUAUGCAAACAAACCAACAAAUUAGGUACAGUCGCUACAUUUUGGUGUUUAGAAAAACAUAAAAAUAUGUCAUUGACUUUCGGAGGCAUAUGGUAUGAGCAUAUUUGCAACAUUCAGGAACUUAAUACAUUCUUCCCAUUCGGAUGAACAUAACUCGAAAUACACUUAACCAGAGGUAUAAAAAGAAAGAAAUUAUAACUGGACAUACAAAAACCUUGUAAAGGAACAACUUCUGUCCCAUAUACCAAUAUAAUUUUCACCGUGUUUACUAAGAUAUGCAAAAAAAGGGGGGGAAUCUCAUCGACAGUCUCGUGGAAGAUCAGAACUAUUUGUGCACAGCUUGUUUCC